AAAAUUUCAAAUUUCAAUUCUUUUUUCUAUCUAUUUCUGGGUUUCUCUCUCCUUCGCCCACGGAAAUCAGAAUCACUCUAUUCUUUCGACACUCUUUUUCUUUUUUCUCUCUUCUCUGAUCGUCCUCUUCAUUUUAUCUUCAUCUCACCAACUGGAAUUGUGUUUCAAGCCUCUGGGGCGCAGAUGAAGCCUUUCUUUGCCUCCAUUGGUCAGCUGUGGAAGGAGCAGAAGCUAGCCGAAAAACCCGCAAGGUUUGUCAUCAGCACUGGCACUCAAGGUGAUAACCAGCUCAUCAAUAAUGUCCACUCUUCCACUUCCUCUCACCAACUGUAGCCUUAUUUUUCCCUGACCUGAUAGCUUUCAUUUUUGGCCUCAAGAGCAGUUAAUUGAAAACAGAGUCCUACAUCUUGCUAAAAUCAUGAUCUUCUUGCAAAAGGGAAAAAGAGUCGGCCAAGGUGGAAGAAGAAUGGACCCUCGGCAGUACACAAAUUGGGCUUUCGACAAAUUGGCUACUUGGUGAAGGAGAAUGCCUUGCUUUCCAACACUGUCAGAAGCUUAGACAAAGAUGUCUCCAAGACAAGAAAACUACAUGCAAAUGCAAAGCAAAGAGAAUGAUGGACAUAGGAGGAGCAUACGCGGUUUCUAGGAGCCAUAGUGCUAUAUGGAAGAAUUGCAGAGCAUGGAAUGUAGCAUUUGCAAGACGGGCGCUUAAAGAUUCAGAUUUGAGGAUAGCUCAUAGUUAGGCCUUUUUCCUUUUCAGUUAUGUUAGUAGUUAGUAGCGUUAGGGAUAUAGAUGUUAUGGUUUAGGUUUAUGAAUAUUUUAGCUUUUCUUUUACCUUAUUGCCAAUAAUAUUCUGUUCCUUCAGCUAUUUGGCAUUUAUUCAAGCAAUUGUUAUAAACUUUAGGUAUAUUUUGUUUGAUAGAUAAUUCUCAAAUAGUAUAUAUCUCAAUAGCAUAUAAUGAAUGAAAUUUGUUUGAUGGAAAGAUUCUGGAAUUUUGAGAAAGAAAGUGAAGAGGUGGGAGGUCAAGGUGUUGGAGCUUAGCUCAGAGAUGGAGAGGAAAUUGAGCAGCUCAUCAAGGAGGUAUUUUUUUAUUUGAAUACCAAGUUAUUUUAUUUUAUUGAGACUGUCUACUUACAAAAUCAGAAGUUUUGACUUAGCUGUUAGAAGGGCAUGUUGUCCCCAAUAAGAAACUUUGGGCCUGGUGUUAUUUCCUUUCUUGAAUAUAAGAUGAUAAAUUUUUGCAUAAAGGAGGGUGCUGAUGAGGAGGGUGUGGAACCAGUGAAGGAAUAAGAGGAGAAAAGUGUUAACUAGCAUUGUUUUGAAAGGUAAUGCAUGUUGGAUAUUGUUAGCACUUGCAUGCUUGGUCAUUAUAGGUUCCUUGUUAAGGUGACAAAGCUAAAGCCUGCAGAUCUGCCUUUGUAUUUGAUGAAUACCUUUCUGUCUUCAUAAUUCUAUAUUUGCACAGUUGUUUUCAAUCUUUGAAUACUCGGGCAUAUCUGUUGGCGCAUAGCUAGAACUGCAGUUAGUAUUUCUUUGAUGUUGGAACAAAGCUUUGGAGAAAGAGAACUAAGUCAACAGGUGAGACAUAGUGAUUUUCAACACCGUAUCCUGUUGUUGAGUUACUUCCAAUAUUGUUGAAGAGCAGAGAAGUAGAUUAUGUUGUUGAAAGGUACCGCUUAUGGUGGUGUCUGAUCCUGCAAGUUGGAGUGAAAGUGGUCUUAUAGUAGAAAGAAACAGCAGGUAAAGCUGAAGGAGAGGACUGGCAAAUGCUUAAAAGAAAAACAGAUGCUGAAAUUUGCUGCAUUAUGUUUCCUUAUAAGAGUCUGAUUAGAAUUAUGUAAACAUAAUUUUCCAAAAUUUAAUUGGUAGUUUUCUUCUAUGCUUUAACAUCAAUGAACUUUGUAUUUUUUGUGCUAGAGUAAUAUUUUUGUGAUAGAGUUCUAUAUCUUCUAUUGAAUAUGCAGAGCUAAAGAAGCAAAAAGUUUCUGAAGUAAGACUGGAAUUGAUGAGGCAGAAGCUUUGGUUCCCUCACCACCCUCUUUUUUCUUUCUCUGUUUUUUUAAAAAGCUGCCUUAAUUUUUCAUUAUCUCAUAUAGUCUUUUUUAAGAGGCUUUGGCUUUUAAAUUAUGACAGGAUAAAAAUCUCAUAUAAGUAAUUCUUUUUUCCUUUUGGUGCACCUAUUUACCUUCUUAAUCUGUGAUAAUUUUUUAAUAUUUGUAGGUAUUACCAAAAAUAUCAUGGCCCAAAAGUUCAGAAGCUCUUAGAUCAAACAAGCUCAUAUUCAAUUACUAUUGUCAAGGAGUUAGGAAAAAUCACUGUUCUUAACCGAUGUUGCUCAUGUGAUAUCAUCAUAGAUAGUCCCCCUAAAUGGUUCCCAUCAAGAAUAAUUUGAUGGACUAGCAGUGGAUGAGGGAAUUUUUUUUUUUUUUGAAAAACUUCCAAAGAAGCUAUCAGUUUGUAAAAGCUAUAGAAGAAAAAACCAGCACAAUUAUUUAUUCAAAGAACUAAAAGAAAAUAGUUAUUUCACUAGGUAUGAGCCAUUAGCAACUGAAGUAGUUGAUGGUUUAUAUGAUUUAUGCUUUAAGGCAUUACAUUUUUUUUUAUUUUUGUUUUUGUGUUUGUGUGCGUGUGUGUAAGGAUGUUAACAUA
Molecule: long non-coding RNA, 2651 nt
Organism: Arachis duranensis
Lineage: Eukaryota; Viridiplantae; Streptophyta; Magnoliopsida; Fabales; Fabaceae
Exons: 5
Source: RefSeq, a predicted model, not a curated record